This 429-nucleotide ribosomal RNA is filed under the name Chloroflexota bacterium. RNAcentral describes it as "Chloroflexi bacterium partial 16S ribosomal RNA". It matches the Rfam family "Bacterial small subunit ribosomal RNA", at positions 355 to 776 of the family's 1533-position model. The record is from RNAcentral. Lineage: Bacteria; Bacillati; Chloroflexota.
UGGGGAAUAUUGCACAAUGGGCGCAAGCCUGAUGCAGCCAUGCCGCGUGUGUGAAGAAGGCCUUCGGGUUGUAAAGUACUUUCAGCGGGGAGGAAGGGAGUAAAGUUAAUACCUUUGCUCAUUGACGUUACCCGCAGAAGAAGCACCGGCUAACUCCGUGCCAGCAGCCGCGGUAAUACGGAGGGUGCAAGCGUUAAUCGGAAUUACUGGGCGUAAAGCGCACGCAGGCGGUUUGUUAAGUCAGAUGUGAAAUCCCCGGGCUCAACCUGGGAACUGCAUUCGAAACUGGCAGGCUAGAGUCUUGUAGAGGGGGGUAGAAUUCCAGGUGUAGCGGUGAAAUGCGUAGAGAUCUGGAGGAAUACCGGUGGCGAAGGCGGCCCCCUGGACGAAGACUGACGCUCAGGUGCGAAAGCGUGGGGAGCAAACAGG